This 430-nucleotide unclassified non-coding RNA is filed under the name Chytridiomycota sp. Its description in RNAcentral is "partial contains small subunit ribosomal RNA, internal transcribed spacer 1, and 5.8S ribosomal RNA". The stretch from base 1 to 47 matches the Rfam family "Eukaryotic small subunit ribosomal RNA", at positions 1785 to 1831 of the family's 1831-position model. Lineage: Eukaryota; Fungi; Chytridiomycota. The record is from RNAcentral.
AAAGUCGUAACAAGGUAACCGUAGGUGAACCUGCGGUUGGAUCAUUACAUUACCUCAGAGGCCAAAAAAGCACGUGCUCGGCUCCCGGAUGUCUUUUAGGGGCAGCGUCUCGAUGGUGUCCUUAGGGGCAGCAGGCGCCGCCCCAUGACGCAAACCGCGAGUGCGGGCGACGGUUUGUGGCUCGAUUGCGUGAACGGUUUCCGUCUUUGGCGAGAAGGGGGGGUAAAGGUGGCCCCUCAUGCCUGCCCAGUCCAGUCCAGAUGUGCUGAAAUUAGAUUUUCGGCGACCUGGAGAUUUGGGGGAGGCAGCUCGCCGCUGGAUCCCUGGAAUUUUGGUUCCAUGGGUGAUGCAUUUGUCAUUCUUUGGAUAUCUGGACAUUGACAUCAGAAACAAAAAAAAACAACUUUUGGCAACGGAUCUCUUGGCUCUU